RNAcentral lists this non-coding RNA (26 nucleotides) under Homo sapiens (human). The record is from RNAcentral. Lineage: Eukaryota; Metazoa; Chordata; Mammalia; Primates; Hominidae.
UGGUGGAAGACAAGAGUCUGAGUGGG